Molecule: ribosomal RNA, 122 nt
Filed under: Pteropus alecto (black flying fox)
Lineage: Eukaryota; Metazoa; Chordata; Mammalia; Chiroptera; Pteropodidae
Source: RNAcentral
GUCUACGGCCAUGCCACCCUGAAGAAGCCCGAUGUCAUCUGAUCUCGGAAGCUAAGCAGGAUCGGCCUGGUUAGUACUUGGAUGGGAGACCACCUAGGGAGACCACCCAGAUGCUGUAAGCG